This 202-nucleotide ribosomal RNA is filed under the name uncultured bacterium. RNAcentral describes it as "partial 16S ribosomal RNA". The record is from RNAcentral.
GAUGAACGCUGGCGGCGUGCCUAAUACAUGCAAGUCGAGCGGUAAGGUUCUGCACUUAGUAUUUGACCAGAUCAAGUCCACGGUAAGCAAUUACUAGAGGAAACUGACUGAAGCAAGGAAACUCCAAGGCUGGAGAAUCCGAGUCGAAUCCUGGGUGUAGAAUACACGAGCGGCGGACGGCUGAGUAACACGUAGGAACGUA